AAGUGAUCCUCCUGCUUCAGUUUCCCAAGUAGCUGGGACUACAGAAACCGGCACUUGAGUAAAACCGGAUGAGAAAACCCUACGUGAGCUGAUGUAGUCUGCUGUUCUGCUGGAGGUUAAAAGGAUCCAGAGCUUCACUGAUACCUAUGGAAACUUCUGGAAUGAAGAUGAAGAGAUGCUCUUUUGUGUACAAUUUCAAUGCACAGAAAGCUCUGCGUAGAAGUUACAUACAGAAAUGCAAAUAUAAAAAUUUAGAUUGUAAUAAAUCUAACUUGGAGAAAGAGAAGAACUUACAGUUCUAACAGACGCCCAGAGGCAGCGUCAUGGAGAACUUAGCAGCCUGGGCUCUGGAAUCGGGCUGCCUGGGCUUGAAUCCCAGCUUGACCAUCUAGACUGGCAUAUGAUUUGGGGCAUGUUCACUUAACCUUUCUGUGCCUUGGACUUAUCAUCCAUAAAGCAGGGUAAGUUCAUGAAACUUGAGGAGUUGCUAUUAAUAGUGUUAGUAAAUUUAUAAAGGUAAAGGCCUUAAAGCAAUGCCUCUCAUACAGUCAAUACAUGUUAGCUAUUAAAUAAUAUUACUGCUCAAUUACUUCUCUAUUAAAAGAAAUUUUGUUUUUGCAUUUGUUAAAUAUAAAAAUUCACAUGGCAUCCAUGGUAAGAAGUAGAAAAGCUCCAAUGGUUUGACAAAUUGACCAUUAAUAGACUGGCAUACACACCAAAUAUUGCAUAUAUUCUACUGGCAUUCAACAAACAGAAGAAAAAGUGAAUUAAAAAAUCAAUAUUAUAAUACAUUCAAUAAUAAAAACAUACUAAAUAAAUGAAAUUCUGUAUAAUAUGAAGGAACACUCCAAGAUCUUAUUUCUAUUUUCCUGGCCACGCUAACAGAAUGCUUAAUCAAGACUUUGCCUUUAAACUGACUUCUGAAACUAGGUCACAAAAGACAUUGAUUGCAGUUUCCGGCCGGGCACGGUGGCUCACACCUGUAAUCCUAGCACUCUGGGAGGCCGAGGCGGGUGGAUCGUUCAAGGUCAGGA
Molecule: long non-coding RNA, 1034 nt
Organism: Lemur catta (Ring-tailed lemur)
Lineage: Eukaryota; Metazoa; Chordata; Mammalia; Primates; Lemuridae
Exons: 3
Source: RefSeq, a predicted model, not a curated record